UCCCUGCUUCUCAUUUCUUUCUUUUUCUUCUUUUUCAUUUUCAGUAGAACACUCUCUACUCUCAUCCUCUCCACUGGCACUUCCACACCACCACCAUCACCAUUUCCACCAUCAUUUUUCCGGCAAGAUCACGGGAAAAUUCUUGGGAACCCAUAAACACCUUCACAUCCUUUUUUUUGAGUAAAAAUUUCUCAUUUUUUUGUGGGUUUUGCACUUUUGCUUGAGGUUAUUUUUAUCUAAGUUUUAAUAAUGAUACUCAUAUGAUUUAUGAGCAUAGGAAGUGAUAUUUAUGUGUUUUUAUGUAUGGGUUUUGUAUUGGUGGAAUUAUUUGAUGAGUGGGUAUAUGGUUUGUGCUAAUGAUUACUACCUAAAAUUUAUUUAUGGUGGAAAAUUUAGGAGUUUUAAGUUAUAACAUAUGAUGGUUGGUAAAUUUAAUUUUUCCAUUGCCAUUGGGUUUAUUUGGAGUUGGAGAUGAUAUUGAAUGGGUUAAAUUUAUAAAUUGGAGUCUAUGCCUUGUGAAUUAAUUUGUUGAGAAACUUUAGAAGAGGAAUAUGUUAUUGAUGAGGUUAAAUGCUAGGCUUGCCUAAUUAAGUGCAUAUUUGGCAAUUCCUAAAUUGUAGCUAGAUACAAUUUUAAGCUUUAUGCUUAUUGUGUUAGAUUUGCUUGAUAUUGUUGAGGUUCUAGCUAAUCUCCUUUGGAGUUUGGAGAAUUAGGCUUUUGCGGUUGCAAGUCUUACAGAUUAAUUAGCUAUAUCAUGGGAAUGGAGCUUGCCUUAUCGGUAGUGAUUGGAGUUUUAUGCUGAAUUGGGAGACUUACAUUACUAAUGGUUGGUGACUCGAUCUUGCUAUGUUCAAUGAGACCUUAAUUAAUUCUAUUGGAGGUUGGUCACUUGAGGUUUGUUAGCCUUAGGCGUGGUAGGCCUAGACUCGAUAUUAAGAUUCCUUAUCCUUGAUAAGAUUGUGAUUUUGUGUAAUCCAAGAGUUUUGUAAUAUAUAUUCAUGUAUUAUGUGGAAGCACCUGAUUUUUAGUUA
Quercus robur (English oak) is the source of this 1031-nucleotide long non-coding RNA. RefSeq lists it as uncharacterized. Lineage: Eukaryota; Viridiplantae; Streptophyta; Magnoliopsida; Fagales; Fagaceae. The transcript has 2 exons. The record is from RefSeq and is a predicted model, not a curated record.